Ovis aries (sheep) is the source of this 72-nucleotide transfer RNA. It matches the Rfam family "tRNA". Rfam says of the family: Transfer RNA (tRNA) molecules are approximately 80 nucleotides in length. Their secondary structure includes four short double-helical elements and three loops (D, anti-codon, and T loops). Further hydrogen bonds mediate the characteristic L-shaped molecular structure. tRNAs have two regions of fundamental functional importance: the anti-codon, which is responsible for specific mRNA codon recognition, and the 3' end, to which the tRNAs corresponding amino acid is attached (by aminoacyl-tRNA synthetases). tRNAs cope with the degeneracy of the genetic code in two manners: having more than one tRNA (with a specific anti-codon) for a particular amino acid; and 'wobble' base-pairing, i.e. permitting non-standard base-pairing at the 3rd anti-codon position. Lineage: Eukaryota; Metazoa; Chordata; Mammalia; Artiodactyla; Bovidae. The record is from Rfam.
UCCUUGAUAGCUUAGUUCGUAAAGAAUCUGCCUGCAAUGCAGGAGACUCUGGUUCGAUUCCUGGGUCAGGAA